Molecule: ribosomal RNA, 496 nt
Filed under: uncultured bacterium
Lineage: Bacteria
Description: partial 16S ribosomal RNA
Rfam family: Bacterial small subunit ribosomal RNA
Source: RNAcentral
GAUGAACGCUGGCGGCGUGCCUAAUACAUGCAAGUCGAGCGAACAGACGAGGAGCUUGCUCCUCUGACGUUAGCGGCGGACGGGUGAGUAACACGUGGAUAACCUACCUAUAAGACUGGGAUAACUUCGGGAAACCGGAGCUAAUACCGGAUAAUAUAUUGAACCGCAUGGUUCAAUAGUGAAAGACGGUUUUGCUGUCACUUAUAGAUGGAUCCGCGCCGCAUUAGCCAGUUGGUAAGGUAACGGCUUACCAAGGCAACGAUGCGUAGCCGACCUGAGAGGGUGAUCGGCCACACUGGAACUGAGACACGGUCCAGACUCCUACGGGAGGCAGCAGUAGGGAAUCUUCCGCAAUGGGCGAAAGCUUGACGGAGCAACGCCGCGUGAGUGAUGAAGGUCUUCGGAUCGUAAAACUCUGUUAUUAGGGAAGAACAAAUGUGUAAGUAACUAUGCACGUCUUGACGGUACCUAAUCAGAAAGCCACGGCUAACUACGU